This is a non-coding RNA of Megalops atlanticus (tarpon), 73 nucleotides long. The record is from the annotation of a GenBank genome assembly. NCBI's taxonomy places the organism in Eukaryota, Metazoa, Chordata, Actinopteri, Elopiformes, Megalopidae.
AGCAGUGUAGCAUAGUGGUUAAGGAGCAUGACUUGUAACUGCAAGGUUGCUGGUUCAAUCCCUGCCUGGGCUG